Molecule: unclassified non-coding RNA, 3185 nt
Filed under: Drosophila mojavensis
Lineage: Eukaryota; Metazoa; Arthropoda; Insecta; Diptera; Drosophilidae
Description: GI13686
Source: RNAcentral
GCUUCGAUGCGUUCGGUUGUGUUUCUUAUAUCGCUACUUGGGCCUUGCUCUGUGCCCGUUUUCUUCACAUUGUAUUGAAAGUCGUAACGCCUGCGCGUGUUUUAUGCAUUUUGAAACGGUUGCCAAUCGAGCUAAAUACAAAACACAAAUUGUUUCAAUUCAUAUACUAAUAGAUAUGCAACAGGUGUAACAGUGUGCACAGGUGUCUCAAAUCUUUUAACUCGCUUACAAUUGGAUUUACGCAAUCGGCAGCAGCUGCUAAGGAACUUUAAGUGCCUUCGAUAAUAGCUCAAUCAGCUCGGCUCAGGUCAGAUCAGAUCAAAUCUGAUCAGAUCACGUGCCGGCAACUACAGUUAGUGUAAUUCGGUAGAAGUAGCCGAAAAGUUGUCGUCCAAACAAAUACUCGAAACGCUACCUAAGAUCCAAAAAAAAAAAAAAAGCCAAAAUAAAACCCGUCGAGAAGCCGAAAGCUGACAAAAGAGUUGGCUCGUUGAUCGUGUUGGCAUUUAAUUUAGCUGGUUACGUGGCUGGGACACUCGUGCGGCCGCCGAAAAGAAAGUCACGACACUAUCCAAAGCGGUUCAAAACAAGAUUUCCAAGAUUCUGCGCCGAAAGUCAAAGUUACAAGUUUACAUUUUGGCCCGGUUCAACGUCUUAUCAGUGUGUGUGUGUCGCCUGUCGUGUGCGCGUAUGUGUGUUUGUGCCACUUUAGAAAGUGAAAAUCGAGUGCAGUCCCAGUUUGAAGCGCAUUCGGUCAGAGCUGCAGCUGAAAGUGAAUUUGCCUGCGAGCUCCAUCAUCAUCUGUCCCAGUAGCUCCAGAGACAGCUACAGCUACAGCUCAGCUACUUGGCCCAACUGCCAGAAAUAUAAAAUUCGUCUAUAGAGCAGCAGUCCAAACUGGCUUCACGUUCCACAAUGGAGGCCGAAGAAAUUACAAAACUCGUUGAUGGUGUUUAUAGGAAUAUACUCGAUAGAUUCAAUCCGGGUGCCAGACAGCUAAUUGCGGCGGGCAAAAGUUACCUGAAGGCAUUGCAUGGUGCCGCAACAGCCUCGCGUCUAUUCAAUGAAGCAUUGGCCAAGAUUGCGAUGAACGCGCAGCAAAGCGGAACGGGCGAUAUUGGUUCAGCUUUGAUGAGCGUUGUGAAUGUCAACAAGGAGAUUCAGGAUCAACAAAUGAAUAUUCUGAAAGCCUUCUAUGUUGAUCUAUUGGUGCCAUUGGAGACAAAUUUGGAGAAGGACACAAAAGUGGUGCAGCAUGAGCAGAAGAAGUUUAUGCAGCAGCACAAAGUGCGCAUGGAGAGCUACCAGAAGGCUGUCUCCACAAUGAAGAAGCAGCGCAAGAAAAAGGCCACGCCCGAGAACACGGAAAAGGAGCUGAGAAGCCUACAAUUGUUGGAGGAUCAGAAGAAGAAACUCGAUAUAUUUUGUGAUCAGAGCUAUAAGAAUGCCAUGACACAGGAGCGUCGUCGCUAUGGCUUCGUCUUGGAGCGCCAGUGCUCGAUCGCCAAGCACUGGAUGGCCUACCACACCACCGGCAAAACAGUAAUUGAUAAUAAUUUCGAAAAUUGGCAAGAAAUUGCCGCUUCCCGUGAGAUAAUACCGCCGGCCGCAUACGAGAGCGGCUACAGCAGCAGCAACAGCAAUACGAGGCGCCUGGAGCGCAUCAAAGACGCUGAUGAUGAGCAGCUACAGAGCCAAGGCAUGGGCGCUCAGCUAAAGAAAUCGCGCAGCAUCGAUGCCCCGUACGGAGACAUGCGCACUCUGCACGAGCGUGAAGGUGGCUCGGGAUCAGCGCUCUAUGGACAGAAUUCCUUGCCGCGUGCCAAAUCCGACUUCAAUUUGGCGCUCGUUGGAGCUGGACCUAUGACAGGCAGCAAACACAAAAUAAUUGAGGAGCAGCUGCCGCUCUGUGAGGUGGAGCGUGGGGAUCAGCGUCCACUGGUCAAGGCACUGUAUGCCUAUAUGCCUUCGGGUGAGAAUCAGCUGUCCUUCGAGGAGGGCGAUCGCAUUGCCCUGGUGGGCGGCAAGGCCAAGGGCUGGCAGUUUGGUGAGAAUCUGCGCACGCAGCACUUCGGCUGGUUCCCUGUGGCCUACACCAAUGCAGAGAGUCUGGAGGUGGCGCCAUCUAGCGGACGACGCUAUGAGAACAUGCACAUGAGCUACGCCAGCAGCGGACUGCGCAGCUACCAUGAGCAGCAGCAGCAGCAACAGCAGCAGCAGCAGCAGCAAUACGAAGCGCAGAUGGAGCUGAUGGACAACGAGGCCACGUACAGACGACGCCGUAAUCACAGCGCCGAGGAGUCCUCGCCCACGCGCAUGUUCGGCGACACCAUCAAGCAGCAAAAGAAGUACCGCUCCGGCUCGGCAGCCAAUCCACGCCCCGGUCCGCCGCCCACGCUGCCCGCUCCAGUCCCGAAUGGCCAGAGCCAGAGCGCCCGUAUGCUGAACAGUUCGCAGAGCUUCUGCGCUGCCAACGGCGUGCCCGCUGCCGUGGAGCGACGCAAGCAGAAGCUGCUGAAUGGCGCACAGAGCUCCAUGAGCCAGCCGUCCACAAAGUCCGCAGCGGCGGCAAAGACCUCGCUGCACAGCAGCAAUGACAGCGGCUUCGCCAAUGAGCCGCCGCCACAGCCCGAGGUGGACUACUCCGACGAGGAGCCAGCCACACAGCGUGUGCCCAUACGCAGGCGCGGUAUUUAUCGCAACUAUUCCAUGGGCUACUGAAGCCAACACACAAAUUACAAUCCCGUAGACGGUAUUCCACUAAAACACACAAAAUCCACACUUUGUAAAAGUCGCUUACUAGCCCUGUCUCCACAAGUCUCUGUGCCUCCCUUAUAAGCAUAAAUGUAUUGUACAAACAAGUCUGUACGCCUCGCAAUUCGCCACGAUCAAGUUGCGCCACACGAAGACUAACGAUCGAUCCGCUCCAAUGAUAUACCGGAGCGUCAACAAGUAGCAACGAAUGCGCAAGGUGGAGUUUUUGUUAUGAUCAGGACAGCUAAAGGUUUCAGCUACAUCUACACACACACAGACACUCGAACACAAUUAAAUCCGAACACAAAAGUAAUAUAAACCUUAUAUAUAUAUACGCCCGACAAGCUGCGAGGAUCGCGUCUUAGUUCUUAGGCUGAGCAGCUGGGCAAGGAUUCUUGGUAGUCAUUAAGUUGUAUUGUUUGUUAUUAAAA